AUAUAAUUAGCAUAUUAUGCUUUGAUUGGUUGAACGGAUAACUGGAUGGCCAGACAGUUAGCAUAUUAGGAUAUUUAUUAUAUAGGAUGUCCAGAAUAGGGAAGUCCAUAGAGACAGAAGGUAGAUUCAUGGCUGCCAGAGGCAGGGGUGAGGGAGGGGGAAUGUGGAGCGACAGCUAAUGGGCAUGCAGUUUCUUUUUGGCGUGAUGAGAUGUUCUGGAAUUGGAUAGCGGUGGUGUUAGUAAAAUGUUAUGAGUAUGCUAAAACCACUGCAUUGCACACUUUCAAAGGAUGAAUUUUAUGGCAUGUGAAUUAUAUUUCAACAAAAAUGCAAAAGAAUAAGUAAGGGUAAAAAUAAAAUAUUUUUAUUUAUGGUAAAAUUGAGAGAAUUUUAUAAACAACUGACCCCUCAUUGAAGGAAUUUCUGAAGAUUGAACUUGAGAAGAAAAAUGACCUCAGAAAGAAAGUCUGAGACCCAAGAAGGGUAAAUAUAUUUAUUUACUAACAUAUAUCUUUAUUGAUUUCAGAGAGGAAGAACGUGUAAGAGAUAGAAACGUCAAUGAUGAGAGAUAACCAUCGAUCGGUGUGCAGGUUGAUGCUCAUCCAUUGAGCCACGCCAGCCUGGCAUGGUGCAGCUGCUCACCAGGGUGGACGCCUGCUCCCACCGCGUCCCUUACUCACCUUCCCUGGGGAACGACUCUGAGACUGAAGAUUUGCUCUCAGGAGUGUCACUGAGGAGUAUUCCCAGGAAUGCCCCUAAAAAGGGAGUGAGGGGAGCAGGAUUGGACAGAGGAAGAAGGUGAACAGCCCCAUGGGAAGAUCUGAAGCUGGGUGAUCCUCCAAAAAUUUCCUGGAUUGCAGCAAGGAGGGAGAAACUGCUGUCCGUGUGGGCACAUCACUCCCGGCUCCGUGAGUCACCAGCACCCGCCCCCCACUGAGGCAGGAGGUACCGACGGCUGUCCCAUCACGUGGUUUCAUAUUCAGG
Pipistrellus kuhlii (Kuhl's pipistrelle) is the source of this 984-nucleotide long non-coding RNA. RefSeq lists it as uncharacterized. The record is from RefSeq and is a predicted model, not a curated record. The transcript has 3 exons. NCBI's taxonomy places the organism in Eukaryota, Metazoa, Chordata, Mammalia, Chiroptera, Vespertilionidae.